Pelobates cultripes (western spadefoot toad) is the source of this 242-nucleotide non-coding RNA. NCBI's taxonomy places the organism in Eukaryota, Metazoa, Chordata, Amphibia, Anura, Pelobatidae. The record is from the annotation of a GenBank genome assembly.
CUUGAUUGUUGUAAGUGUUGCAAAUGCUUACAGCUGAAUCAUGGCUAUGUUUGUAUACUUUGUAUUUAAAAUUGUAUACAGUGUAACAUUCUUUCUUCUUCCACUGGGUAAGUAUAUUAGUACUUAGGCAAUGCAUUUUACUUCCUUUUGCAGCCCUCUAGCCCUUUCCAGGACUUUUUUAGAGCCAUUUUAGUACCCAAAAGUUUGGGUCCCCAUUGACUGCAAUGGGGUUCAGGUUCGGG